Molecule: long non-coding RNA, 905 nt
Organism: Trifolium pratense (red clover)
Lineage: Eukaryota; Viridiplantae; Streptophyta; Magnoliopsida; Fabales; Fabaceae
Exons: 3
Source: RefSeq, a predicted model, not a curated record
ACAUGGCUCCAGAAUAUGCAAUGCAUGGUUAUUUUAAGGCCAAAGCGGAUGUUUAUAGUUUUGGGUUGUUGCCUUGGAAAUAGUUAGUGGGAAGCACAACACCAUGAACCAGCCAAAGGAUGAAUGUUUCUCUCUUGUUGAUUGGAUUGUUGAGACUCUUAUAUCAUCAUUAUAGAGGAGUUGCUCAUGGAGUUAGCCAAUCAGAAAUAUUGGAUCAGAUACUUGUAGCCCUAGUCAAGGUCUGAUGCAGGCAGAACCUACGAUUGCUUCAGGUCUGAGGCAGGCAGAACCUACGAUUGCUUCAGGUCUGAUACGGGUUGCUGCUUUGCAUGCUACCGCGCCUGAGCCUGGUGUGGUACAGACAUAUUCGGCUGCUGUUAAUUCGAAAAGUACGACUCUGGGGCGAUUCAAAUGUAAUAUCGAUGCAUAAUUUGCUUCGUAUUUAAAUAGAGUUGGGAUUGGAAUAUGCAUCUGUGACGAACUUCGUCAAUAUACUUUCAAAGACAGAAUGGAUUGCCCUUCUUUGUAGAGUGGUUGUUGGUAAACUUUUUGGUAAGUAUAUGACCUUCAAUGUCCCUAAAUUUAGUUUAUGUCCCUUGUUGUCCCUAAAAUUGAUGGUCUAAAUACAAUUUCAAUGUGAUUGCUGAUUCGUAACUUCAAAUGUAAGUGUGGAAGACCCUUCUUUUUCAAAAAAGUGUAGAAGACCCUUGGAGCCUUAGAUGCAAAAUUGAAUAUAUGUCCCUCGAUGUCCGUAAAUUGAAUAUAUGUUCCUCGAUAUCCCUAAAUUGAAUAUAUGUUCCUCGAUGUCCCUAUUUCCAUAGAAGGGUCUCAAUGGAUUCCAGGAUAUUAUAAGGCAAUUGAAGCUAUUGGAAAUCCUUCAACUUUUUAUAUUUCGGUUUUGGUUA